GUGGGGAAUAUUGCACAAUGGGGGAAACCCUGAUGCAGCAACGCCGCGUGAGUGAAGAAGUAUUUCGGUAUGUAAAGCUCUAUCAGCAGGGAAGAAAGUGACGGUACCUGACUAAGAAGCCCCGGCUAACUACGUGCCAGCAGCCGCGGUAAUACGUAGGGGGCAAGCGUUAUCCGGAUUUACUGGGUGUAAAGGGAGCGUAGACGGCACAGCAAGUCUGAAGUGAAAUCCCCGGGCUCAACCCGGGAACUGAUUUGGAAACUGUUGGGCUGGAGUGCUGGAGAGGCAAGCGGAAUUCCUAGUGUAGCGGUGAAAUGCGUAGAUAUUAGGAGGAACACCAGUGGCGAAGGCGGCUUGCUGGACAGUAACUGACGUUGAGGCUCGAAAGCGUGGGGAGCAAACAGGAUUAGAAACCCUGGUAGUCC
This 425-nucleotide ribosomal RNA is filed under the name uncultured bacterium. RNAcentral's name for it is "partial 16S ribosomal RNA". It matches the Rfam family "Bacterial small subunit ribosomal RNA", at positions 354 to 796 of the family's 1533-position model. The record is from RNAcentral.